Molecule: ribosomal RNA, 442 nt
Filed under: Stainforthia sp.
Lineage: Eukaryota; Foraminifera; Rotaliida; Stainforthiidae
Description: SSU rRNA
Rfam family: Eukaryotic small subunit ribosomal RNA
Source: RNAcentral
GGAGCAUGUGGCUUAAUUUGACUCAACGCGGGAAAUCUUACCGGGUCCGGACACACUGAGGAUUGACAGGCAAUAUUAAUUUCGCUCCGGCGAUUUUAUGUUAAAUAUGCUAGUCCUUUCAUGAUUAUGUGAUAGGUGGUGCAUGGCCGUUCUUAGUUCGUGGAGUGAUCUGUCUGCUUAAUUGCGUUUCACUAAGGGCCUAUAAUUUAACGUGUGUUGCGGCACUUUGACCCCUCUUCGCGGAGCGUGCGUCUUAGCUUGUUUAGCUCACACAAUUAGGUCCUGAAAGCAACGAACGUGACCGCAACCUCUUGUUGCCUUUAUACCAAACACAGUCUGACCUUUUCUGACGAAGGGCUGCCGUGAAAAAAGGCUUUUUAAACUAGAGGGACCGCUGUUACUUUCUUAAACCAGAGGAAGGUUGCGGCAAUAACAGGUCUGU